RNAcentral lists this ribosomal RNA (460 nucleotides) under uncultured bacterium. RNAcentral's name for it is "partial 16S ribosomal RNA". It matches the Rfam family "Bacterial small subunit ribosomal RNA", at positions 28 to 507 of the family's 1533-position model. The record is from RNAcentral.
GACGAACGCUGGCGGCGUGCUUAACACAUGCAAGUCGAGCGGUAAGGCCUCUUCGGGGGUACACGAGCGGCGAACGGGUGAGUAACACGUGGGUGACCUGCCCUCAGCUCUGGGAUAAGCCUGGGAAACUGGGUCUAAUACCGGAUAUGACCUUUCCUCGCAUGGGGUUUGGUGGAAAGUUUUUUCGGCUGGGGAUGGGCCCGCGGCCUAUCAGCUUGUUGGUGGGGUGAUGGCCUACCAAGGCGACGACGGGUAGCCGGCCUGAGAGGGCGACCGGCCACACUGGGACGGAGACACGGCCCAGACUCCUACGGGAGGCAGCAGUGGGGAAUAGUGCGCAAUGGGCGGAAGAAUGACGAAGCGACGCCGCGUGGGGGAUGACGGGAGGAGGGUUGUAAACCUCUUUCGAACCCGACGAAGUUGGAAGGUAGGGGUAGAAGAAGCACCGGCCAACUACGUG